This 254-nucleotide ribosomal RNA is filed under the name uncultured bacterium. RNAcentral describes it as "partial 16S ribosomal RNA". It matches the Rfam family "Bacterial small subunit ribosomal RNA", at positions 524 to 776 of the family's 1533-position model. The record is from RNAcentral.
UACGGGGGGAGCAAGCGUUGUUCGGAUUUACUGGGCGUAAAGGGCGCGUAGGCGGCCUCUGCAAGUCGACUGUGAAAUCUCCGGGCUUAACCCGGAAAGGUCAGCCGAUACUGCAGGGCUAGAGUGCAGAAGGGGCAACUGGAAUUCUCGGUGUAGCGGUGAAAUGCGUAGAUAUCGAGAGGAACACCUGCGGCGAAGGCGGGUUGCUGGGCUGACACUGACGCUGAAGUGCGAAAGCUAGGGGAGCGAACGGG